GUCUAGCCGUAAACAUAAGUAGUCACAAACAAGACUAUUCACCAGAGAACUACGAGCCACAGCCUAAAACUCAAAGGACUUGGCGGGGCUUCAUACCCCCCUAGAGGAGCCUGUUCUAUAAUCGAUAUACCACGAUACACCUCACCAAUUCUUGUUAAUUCAGUCUAUAUACCGCCAUCUUCAGCAAACCCUGAUUAAGGAACAAAAGUAAGCAUAAUCAUCUUUACAUAAAAACGUUAGGUCAAGGUGUAACUUAUGAAUUGGGAAGCAAUGGGCUACUUUCUUUAACUAAAAGAAUAACGAAAGUUUCUAUGAAACUAGAAACCAAAGGAGGAUUUAGUAGUAAGCUAAGAUUAGAAAGCUUAACUGAA
Molecule: ribosomal RNA, 371 nt
Filed under: Podogymnura truei truei
Lineage: Eukaryota; Metazoa; Chordata; Mammalia; Eulipotyphla; Erinaceidae
Description: partial small subunit ribosomal RNA
Rfam family: Bacterial small subunit ribosomal RNA
Source: RNAcentral